RNAcentral lists this ribosomal RNA (377 nucleotides) under uncultured Desulfobulbus sp. RNAcentral describes it as "bacterial SSU rRNA". It matches the Rfam family "Bacterial small subunit ribosomal RNA", at positions 1010 to 1382 of the family's 1533-position model. The record is from RNAcentral. Lineage: Bacteria; Pseudomonadati; Thermodesulfobacteriota; Desulfobulbia; Desulfobulbales; Desulfobulbaceae.
UGCCUUUCCAUCGUGGAAAGAAUCUGGAGACAGGUGCUGCAUGGCUGUCGUCAGCUCGUGUCGUGAGAUGUUGGGUUAAGUCCCGCAACGAGCGCAACCCUUGCCUUUAGUUGCCAGCAGUUCGGCUGGGCACUCUAAAGGGACUGCCGGUGUUAAACCGGAGGAAGGUGGGGAUGACGUCAAGUCCUCAUGGCCUUUAUGACCAGGGCUACACACGUACUACAAUGGCCGAUACAAAGGGCAGCGACACUGCGAGGUGAAGCCAAUCCCGUAAAAUCGGUCUCAGUCCGGAUUGGAGUCUGCAACUCGACUCCAUGAAGUUGGAAUCGCUAGUAAUCGUGGAUCAGCAUGCCACGGUGAAUACGUUCCCGGGCCUU